This is a long non-coding RNA of Lytechinus pictus (painted urchin), 543 nucleotides long. RefSeq lists it as uncharacterized. The record is from RefSeq and is a predicted model, not a curated record. NCBI's taxonomy places the organism in Eukaryota, Metazoa, Echinodermata, Echinoidea, Temnopleuroida, Toxopneustidae. The transcript has 3 exons.
GGGUUUCGUUUAAGUGGAAAUGUACAUGUCAGUUGCUGUUUCGACUCUAUCUGAAAGACGAUUUAUUAGAUCAAAAACAACUUGAUCCAUACAUCUUUGGCUACUGAAUAGAUAGCAGGAAAACCUUUUCAACAAGUUUUAUCCAGUUCGGUGGAAGCUGUGGUCGCGCAGAAGUGGAGACCUUCGCAAGAAAAAAAAAGGAAAAGAAAGAAAUUACUUUACCUGGACAAACAUGUCCUAAAUUAGUCAUCGACAAGCACCACGGACCAAAACAAGUAAAAGACUCAUCGACGACGGAUCUCCUUAUGGACACAAACCGACCAUGUAAUCGUAUUUCCAUGUAAACGGGGUGUAUCAAGUUGCUCCAGCCCAGUCAAUGGAGCCAAACCGACGAGAUGAAAGCACCGGGGCCCUACUGGGGGUGGUAACAGACCGUCUCGGGUGAACGAGAAGGAGGCGGCGGCAGCCCGAAAGGUAUACUUCCUCACACCUUUGGUCUAUCCUGUUCAGACCUGAAGAAUAUAGCUGAAGAUGUACCGUCUU